Molecule: ribosomal RNA, 253 nt
Filed under: uncultured bacterium
Lineage: Bacteria
Description: partial 16S ribosomal RNA
Rfam family: Bacterial small subunit ribosomal RNA
Source: RNAcentral
UACGGAGGGUGCGAGCGUUGUUCGGAAUUACUGGGCGUAAAGCGCGUGUAGGCGGCCUUCUAAGUCUGGUGUGAAAGCCCGGGGCUCAACCCCGGAAGUGCAUUGGAUACUGGGAGGCUGGAGUACCGGAGAGGAGGGUGGAAUUCCUGGUGUAGCGGUGAAAUGCGUAGAUAUCAGGAGGAACACCGGUGGCGAAGGCGGCCCUCUGGACGGAUACUGACGCUGAGACGCGAAAGCGUGGGGAGCAAACAGG